CUCAAUGUUUGGAAAAGAAUGACACCAACAAAGGAACCACUGAUG
This 45-nucleotide small RNA is filed under the name Mus musculus (house mouse). RNAcentral describes it as "small nucleolar RNA, C/D box 42A (Snord42a)". Lineage: Eukaryota; Metazoa; Chordata; Mammalia; Rodentia; Muridae. The record is from RNAcentral.